CCUCGCUGUCGGCUUUGUUUGAAGGCCGCGUUUGAUCUAAGCGUCACUUUGCUGUGCGGGCUGAAUCUACAAGAAACUAGAUUUUUUUACUGCAAAGGCAAGAUGGCUAAGACUAAGGAGACUAAGAAACCAGAAACACCCAAGGCUGACAAACCCAAAAAGGGUAGGGGCCGACCAAAGGGGAGCACCAAAAAGGGAGGGGCGAAGAAAGGGGCCAAGAAGGCAGUUAAGCGUGCAGGAAAGAAGAAGUAAAUCCUGGUUUCAUGAGGGAACACUGCCACUAAGUGGACAUUAUGGAUCUGUUGACAUAUUGACCUUUUAUCCUUACCUAAGUAGUGCAUGUGAUUGAACAAAAAUAAUGCAGCCUCCUGAAGAUUUCUUUAAGAAUUGGAUAAAACAAGAUGCAACCUUCCUCAAGACUAUUUUUACUUAACUUUGGACAAAAAGAAGAAGCAGCUUUUGAAGACUCGAAGUUUGUACAAAAAAUGAGAAGCAACUACUGAGGCUAAAGAUUUCCUUAAAUGUUAAAAAAUAUGCAACUUUUAAAUAUCAUAUACUUCAAUUGUUUGACGCAAGUAAUUGGCAGCUAUUUCAGACAAAAUUUUAUGGUAUGCAUUAAUUGUUGAAUUAAUUUCAUAACUCAUAUUUUUUUAAAUGUUUGAAAAAGAAUACACCUUAUUUUACAUAACAAACAGUAAGCUUGGCAAGGAAGCAGGUCAAAUUCCUGUAUAUUCAUUCAAAAUUUAGUUUUGUUCACAAACAAGACAUUGCUUAUCACAUUCAGGGAUACUUUUGCUGUGUCAUGUACAAUUGUAUGCAUAUAUUCAUUACAUGUUUAAGAAUGUCAACAUUUUUUAAAACUGAUUUCCUUAAUUAAGACAUUUUAUUUUUUCAUACCGGUUUUAUUUAUGUACAUAAUCAUAUAUUUAAUUUUCUACAAUUUUUUUUAAUUCAUCGAAAAUACAUUUUUUAAACAAAACUUAUAUCUAUAGUUUUUUUUGAGAUUAUUUCUUCAUAUAAUUAUUAUCAAAUAAGGAUCUGGAAAAAAAUUGGACAAAAUAUAUACCAAUUAUAUUUUAUCUUCAUUUUAAUACUCAUUUGGUAACAGUUAACUGUCAUUCUCAUUGUAAUAUAAACAUUGAAUCAAACCUUUCUAGAAAGCAAUAAUACCGAAAUAAAUAUGUUGUAAAAAAGG
This is a long non-coding RNA of Mya arenaria, 1195 nucleotides long. RefSeq lists it as uncharacterized. NCBI's taxonomy places the organism in Eukaryota, Metazoa, Mollusca, Bivalvia, Myida, Myidae. The transcript has 3 exons. The record is from RefSeq and is a predicted model, not a curated record.